GUGCCAGCAGCCGCGGUAAUACCGGCAGCCCAAGUGAUGGCCGAUCUUAUUGGGCCUAAAGCGUCCGUAGCUGGCUGCGCAAGUCCGUCGGGAAAUCCACUCGCCCAACGAGUGGGCGUCCGACGGAAACUGCACAGCUUGGGACCGGAAGGCGCGACGGGUACGUCCGGGGUAGGAGUGAAAUCCCGUAAUCCCGCACGGACCACCGAUGGCGAAGGCACUUCGAGAAAACGGAUCCGACAGUGAGGGACGAAAGCCAGGGUCUCCAACCGGAUUAGAAACCCGUGUAGUCC
Molecule: ribosomal RNA, 293 nt
Filed under: uncultured bacterium
Lineage: Bacteria
Description: partial 16S ribosomal RNA
Rfam family: Archaeal small subunit ribosomal RNA
Source: RNAcentral